RNAcentral lists this ribosomal RNA (255 nucleotides) under uncultured bacterium. RNAcentral's name for it is "partial 16S ribosomal RNA". It matches the Rfam family "Bacterial small subunit ribosomal RNA", at positions 524 to 776 of the family's 1533-position model. The record is from RNAcentral.
UACGAAGGGUGCAAACGUUGCUCGGAAUUAUUGGGCGUAAAGCGCGCGCAGGCGGCCUUUUAAGUCUGAUGUGAAAGCCCACGGCUCAACCGUGGAAGGUCAUUGGAAACUGAAAGGCUUGAGUACAGAAGAGGAAAGCGGAAUUCCACGUGUAGCGGUGAAAUGCGCAGAUAUCAGGAAGAACACCCGUGGCGAAGGCGGCUCUCUGGGACGGUACUGACGCUGAGACGCGAAAAGCGUGGGGGAGCGAACAGG